Molecule: long non-coding RNA, 728 nt
Filed under: Aedes aegypti (yellow fever mosquito)
Lineage: Eukaryota; Metazoa; Arthropoda; Insecta; Diptera; Culicidae
Description: uncharacterized LOC125505931 (LOC125505931)
Source: RNAcentral
UUUUAUUGUCAUAAAUAUAAAUAUUAAAUAGAACAAACUUCUAACAAGACAUAACAAAUAUAAAAUACCCAUAAUACCCAGAGAGUGAACUUUUUUUCUUGCUUUUUUGUGUGAAAUUUUCACAGUUGCUGUGCGAAGCAUCAACAUUCUGAUGCUACAAUUAGUUGUUUUCCAUGAGUCAUUGCUCGCCGAUGGUAUCCCGGAUCGGAACGUUUUCUAAGUCAGUCGCUUCUCCUGAUCCUGGUUGAUUCUCCUUCUGAUCAGCCGUGAGCUGGUUCAUCAGUGGCGGGCAUGGGAGUAGUAGUAGAGUCAUCAUCUACGCAGACGCAAGUCGUCUUCCGCUCGGUGGUCGUUGAGAUUUCUUCGGUCGUUGACGUCGUUUCCGGAGUUGUGGUGGUCUCUUCGGUUGUCGUGGUCUCUUCGGUCGUCGUGGUCUUUUCAGUUGUCGUAGUUUCUUCGGUUGUUGUGGUCUCUUCGGUCGUCGUGGUCUCCGGAGUGGUUGUCGUUUCUUCUGUCGUUGUGGUUUCUUCGGUCGUUGUAGUCUCCGGUGUUGUUGUAGUUUCAACGGUUGUUGUCGUUUCUUCAGUAGUAGUAGUUUCUAAUGUUGUGGUUGUAGCUUCCGUCGUUGUAGUAUUAGUUUUCACACAUACGCAGGUUGUUUCAUCAUCUUCAGUAGUAGUUGUGCUUUCAGUGGUUGUAAAUGUUGGUUUUGUAGUAGUAGUUUUUGG